RNAcentral lists this ribosomal RNA (420 nucleotides) under uncultured bacterium. RNAcentral's name for it is "partial 16S ribosomal RNA". It matches the Rfam family "Bacterial small subunit ribosomal RNA", at positions 360 to 772 of the family's 1533-position model. The record is from RNAcentral.
AAUAUUCGACAAUGGUGGCAACCCUGAUCCAGCCAUGCUUCGUGUGUGAAGAAGGACUUCCGAUUGUAAACCACUUUAAGCUGGGAGGAAGGGCUUUAGGCUAAUACCUAGAAGUAGUGACGUUACUCACAGAAUAAGCACCGGCUAACUCUUCGCGAGCAGCCGCGGUAAUACAGAGGGUGCAAGCGUUAAUCGGUAUUACUGGGAGUAAAGCGCGCGUAGGUGGUUCAGUAAGAUGGGUGUGAAAUCCCCGGGCUUAACCUGGGAACUGCUUUCAUAACUGCUGAGCUAGAGUACGGUAGAGGGUAGUGGAAUUUCCUGUGUAGCGGUGAAAUGCGUAGAUAUAGGAAGGAACACCAGUGGCGAAGGCGACUACCUGGACUGAUACUGACACUGAGGUGCGAAAGCGUGGGGAGCAAA